Molecule: long non-coding RNA, 1987 nt
Organism: Oncorhynchus tshawytscha (Chinook salmon)
Lineage: Eukaryota; Metazoa; Chordata; Actinopteri; Salmoniformes; Salmonidae
Source: Ensembl
UAGAGGUCCUGAGUUUGUGAGAUAGAGGUCAUGUGUUUGUGAGAUAGAGGUCAUGUGUUUGUGAGAUAGAGGUCAUGUGUUUGUGAGAUAGAGGUCAUGUGUUUGUGAGAUAGAGGUCAUGAGUUUGUGAGAUAGAGGUCAUGUGUUUGUGAGAUAGAGGUUCUGUGUUUGUGAGAUAGAGGUCAUGUGUUUGUGAGAUAGAGGUCAUGUGUUUGUGAGAUAGAGGUCAUGUGUUUGUGAGAUAGAGGUCAUGUGUUUGUGAGGUAGAGGUCAUGUGUUUGUGAGAUAGAGGUCCUGAGUUUGAGCCUCGGUAUGUUCCGAAUAAGGAGGAAGUGGUGAUCGCUAAGCAAGCAGCAUGACGUCCUUUACACUUGGUUCAAGUGAACAUUGACAGCACAAUUCAUACAAAUAUUCUGUUGCACAAAGUGAAUCUUAUCCCCCACACAGUGAGGAAGACGGUUGGGGAAACAAAGAAAUAUCCAAGGGCCGAAAGUUGGAGAAUAACAGAACUUGGUCGCAUCUUCGGGUCACCAAGUCUCCAAAUCUACAAUUAGACGCCACGUCCAUGCCAAUAGGCUCUUUGGAAGGGUUGCCAGGAAGAAUGAAAUGCUGUUUGGCCACGCCCACCAGUUGUGGGUUUGGUGUUGAAAGAAAGAUGCAUAUGCAGAUCAGAACCUCAUACCUACUGUUCAAUGUGGUAGUGGAUCUCUGUUAUGGGGUUGUUUGAUUCCACUGGUCCUGUGGCCUGUCACGCUGGCAUGAAGAGAUUCUGGAGACAGGCGCAGAAAUGUGUAAUAGGGUGUUUGAUUCCACUGGUCCUUUGGCCUGUCACGCUGGCAUGAAGAGAUUCUGGAGACAGGCGCAGAAAUGUGUAAUAGGGUGUUUGAUUCCACUGGUCCUUUGGCCUGUCACGCCGGCAUGAAGAGAUUCUGGAGACAGGCGCAGGACUGUGUAAUAGGGUGUUUGAUUCCACUGGUCCUGGUCUGUCACGCUGGCAUGAAGAGAUUCUGGAGACAGGCGUAGGACUGUGUAAUAGGGUGUUUGAUUCCACUGGUCCUGUGGCCUGUCACGCUGGCAUGAAGAGAUUCCGGAGACAGGCGCAGGAAUGUGUAAUAGGGUGUUUGAUUCCACUGGUCCUGGUCUGUCACGCUGGCAUGAAGAGAUUCUGGAGACAGGCGCAGGACUGUGUAAUAGUUUUUUCUACUAAGCCCCAAAUUAUGGCAUGCAAUGUAAAGGCACGGGGGACGAAGACCAAACAAACACGUAACAAAAACACAGGGUUGAAACCCAAACAAAAGAGCGAGGAGAACCUUGAAUAAAUAACACUAGCGCACAAUGAUUAACACACGGGACGAGACCCGUAAUCAUCUGCGCAAUCCACACUUUCACCACACACACGCAACACCGUCCGCACACUCAUACUUACAUGUUUAUGCACACACCUAGUGAGGUUACAGAACAAUCAGCCAAACCUAGGUCCCCUGGACAAUGUGAAUAUAAGGAAACAGUAGGGUUGUCUAAAAGGUUCCUUAACAAUUACAAUCAUUUUUAUCAAAUGUUCCCAUUAUUUUUAUCAUACAGUUCUGCUCAGUUUUUGAAUGAUUUAUUUUACCAUUUUUUAUAAAGGGUGCCAAUAAUGUUGAAGUUGAAUGAAUGUACAAAACAUUAAUGAGUGUACAAAACACCUUCUAAUAUUGAGUUGCCCCCCCCCCCCCUCCUUUUGGCCUCAGAACAGCUACAAUCCGUCAGGAAAUGGACUCUACAAGGUGUAGAAAGCGUUCCACAGGGAUGCUGGCCCAUGUUGACUCUACAAGGUGUAGAAAGCGUUCCACAGGGCUGCUGGCCCAUGUUGACUCUACAAGGUGUAGAAAGCGUUCCACAGGGAUGCUGGCCCAUGUUGACUCCAAUGGCCCAUUUUGACUCCAAUGCUUCCCACAGUUGUGUCAAGUUGGCUGGAUGUCCUUUGGGUGGUGGACUGUUCUUGAUA